Molecule: ribosomal RNA, 490 nt
Filed under: uncultured bacterium
Lineage: Bacteria
Description: bacterial SSU rRNA
Rfam family: Bacterial small subunit ribosomal RNA
Source: RNAcentral
GAUGAACGCUAGCUACAGGCUUAACACAUGCAAGUCGCGGGGCAGCAUUCACUUAGCUUGCUAGGUGAGAUGGCGACCGGCGCACGGGUGAGUAACGCGUAUCCAACCUGCCCUUGUCCACGGGAUAACCCGGUGAAAACCGGCCUAAUACCGUAUGAGGUCACAAGCGGACAUCCAACUGUGACGAAAGGUUUGGCGGACAAGGAUGGGGAUGCGUCCGAUUAGCUUGACGGCGGGGUAACGGCCCACCGUGGCGACGAUCGGUAGGGGUUCUGAGAGGAAGGUCCCCCACAUUGGAACUGAGACACGGUCCAAACUCCUACGGGAGGCAGCAGUGAGGAAUAUUGGUCAAUGGACGGGAGUCUGAACCAGCCAAGUAGCGUGCAGGAUGACGGCCCUAUGGGUUGUAAACUGCUUUUAUAGGGGGAUAAAGUGUGCCACGUGUGGCAUAUUGCAGGUACCCUAUGAAUAAGGACCGGCUAAUUCCGUG